This 1233-nucleotide long non-coding RNA is filed under the name Homo sapiens (human). RNAcentral's name for it is "long intergenic non-protein coding RNA 635". The record is from RNAcentral. Lineage: Eukaryota; Metazoa; Chordata; Mammalia; Primates; Hominidae.
AGCAGCGUAGCUGAACAUCUUACGGAUGGCCCAGGGCUCCAAAGGCUCGUUUCCUAAGUGAGAGAGAGCCUGGCUGAAGCUGUAUUACCAUUCAUUCUCCAGCCUCCGAAGUCUCAAAGCAUCACUUCCACCAUACUCUAACUGUCAAGACAAACACAAAGGCCCAGAGAAGGGGUCUCACUAUGUUGUCUGGAGUGCUGUGGUGGAGUGGAGUGGCUAUUCACAGAGCCUGUUCUGCUGGGACACAGAAUCACUUGCUCCAUCUCAUACAUUGAUGAUGAUUAAUUUGUAUGUGUACCUUCCAAAAAAGAUGGUUGUGUUUGAAUGGAGGCCUUCUGGACAGGAAAAUAUGGAGAGUGCGUGCUUUGGAUUCAAGACUGGGAAUGAGGGGACCAGAAACCUAUUCUGUGGCUGUUUCUUGUUAGGACUUUCCUAAGCCUCUGGAAAAGUGCAAAGUACAAUUAACAUUUGAGUCUGUCUGAGUCAUGAAGAAAUGGAGAUUACUGAAAAUAAUUCAUUUUGGUAUCUUCUUACAUCCUGAGAGACUAAUCUUUCCAAGUUCAUCUGAGGCUCCUCUUCUCCAUGACAACCUCAUCCAGGGAUUUCUUCCUGUCCUGGUGUUUUAUGACAUAAUCACAUCCUUCCUGAGAUAAUGAGCACACAAUUGCCUGGAUACCUGAAGGAAUGGAGACAGCGGCAGAAAACACUGCAGAGAGGUGGAAACAUCCGUUAAUAUUUUAAAAUCCCAUUACUGCUACCAACAAUAAUAAUGGAUGCAUAGAAAUAGAUCUGGAUUAGCUGAGCUUGAAACAGUCCAUCUCACACACACACAAAAGAAUUUCAGAUACAGUGAACCCACAUGUUGAAGCUUUCUAGUAUAAUAAAAAUUUCAACUGUUCUGUUGAAUCAUCUGCCUGAUUGGAGGCUACAGAAAAGAUGUCAUCUUAGGAGUGCUUGCUCUGAGUGAGGCUCAUCUUCAAAUCUGAAUGACCACAAGGAGAUUUGAUUAUACAUGUGAACACCUCAGAAGGCACAGCCCACCCAGAAGGCAGACAGGAGGAGACAGACACUAGAGCUCACCGGCUCGCCCUCUCACUCCUACUCAUCUGAGAAGGCAGCCAGCUAACCCUUCAGCCAGGAAGAGGGUCCUCAUCAGAACCUGGCCGUGGUGGCAUCCAGAUCUUGAACCUCCGGACUCCAGACUGUGAGAAAAUAAGUGUGUUGUUUAAACUA